Molecule: ribosomal RNA, 427 nt
Filed under: uncultured bacterium
Lineage: Bacteria
Description: partial 16S ribosomal RNA
Rfam family: Bacterial small subunit ribosomal RNA
Source: RNAcentral
UGGGGAAUAUUGCACAAUGGGCGCAAGCCUGAUGCAGCCAUGCUGCGUGUAUGAAGAAGGCCUUCGGGUUGUAAAGUACUUUCAGCGGGGAGGAAGGCGAUGUGGUUAAUAACCGCGUCGAUUGACGUUACCCGCAGAAGAAGCACCGGCUAACUCCGUGCCAGCAGCCGCGGUAAUACGGAGGGUGCAAGCGUUAAUCGGAAUUACUGGGCGUAAAGCGCACGCAGGCGGUCUGUCAAGUCGGAUGUGAAAUCCCCGGGCUCAACCUGGGAACUGCAUCCGAAACUGGCAGGCUUGAGUCUCGUAGAGGGGGGUAGAAUUCCAGGUGUAGCGGUGAAAUGCGUAGAGAUCUGGAGGAAUACCGGUGGCGAAGGCGGCCCCCUGGACGAAGACUGACGCUCAGGUGCGAAAGCGUGGGGAGCAAACA